RNAcentral lists this ribosomal RNA (492 nucleotides) under uncultured bacterium. RNAcentral's name for it is "partial 16S ribosomal RNA". It matches the Rfam family "Bacterial small subunit ribosomal RNA", at positions 29 to 507 of the family's 1533-position model. The record is from RNAcentral.
AGUGAACGCUGGCGGUAGGCCUAACACAUGCAAGUCGAACGGCAGCACAGUAAGAGCUUGCUCUUACGGGUGGCGAGUGGCGGACGGGUGAGGAAUACAUCGGAAUCUACUUUUUCGUGGGGGAUAACGUAGGGAAACUUACGCUAAUACCGCAUACGACCUACGGGUGAAAGCAGGGGAUCUUCGGACCUUGCGCGAUUGAAUGAGCCGAUGUCGGAUUAGCUAGUUGGCGGGGUAAAGGCCCACCAAGGCGACGAUCCGUAGCUGGUCUGAGAGGAUGAUCGGCCACACUGGAACUUAGACACGCUCCAUACUCCUACGGGAGGCAGCAGUGGGGAAUAUUGGACAAUGGGCGCAAGCCUUAUCCAGCCAUACCGCGUGGGUGAAGAAGGCCUUCGGGUUGUAAAGCCCUUUUGUUGGGAAAGAAAAGCAUCAGGUUAAUACCCCGCUGUUCUGACGGUACCCAAAGAAUAAGCACCGGCUAACUUCGUG